GAUGAACGCUGGCGGCGUGCCUAAUACAUGCAAGUCGAGCGAACGGACGAGAAGCUUGCUUCUCUGAUGUUAGCGGCGGACGGGUGAGUAACACGUGGAUAACCUACCUAUAAGACUGGGAUAAUUUCGGGAAACCGGAGCUAAUACCGGAUAAUAUUUUGAACCGCAUGGUUCAAAAGUGAAAGACGGUCUUGCUGUCACUUAUAGAUGGAUCCGCGCUGCAUUAGCUAGUUGGUAAGGUAACGGCUUACCAAGGCAACGAUGCAUAGCCGACCUGAGAGGGUGAUCGGCCACACUGGAACUGAGACACGGUCCAGACUCCUACGGGAGGCAGCAGUAGGGAAUCUUCCGCAAAGGGCGAAAGCCUGACGGAGCAACGCCGCGUGAGUGAUGAAGGUCUUCGGAUCGUAAAACUCUGUUAUUAGGGAAGAACAUAUGUGUAAGUAACUGUGCACAUCUUGACGGUACCUAACCAGAAAGCCACGGCUAACUACGUG
This 497-nucleotide ribosomal RNA is filed under the name uncultured bacterium. RNAcentral describes it as "partial 16S ribosomal RNA". It matches the Rfam family "Bacterial small subunit ribosomal RNA", at positions 28 to 507 of the family's 1533-position model. The record is from RNAcentral.